This 465-nucleotide ribosomal RNA is filed under the name Vreelandella stevensii. RNAcentral describes it as "partial 16S ribosomal RNA". It matches the Rfam family "Bacterial small subunit ribosomal RNA", at positions 338 to 795 of the family's 1533-position model. Lineage: Bacteria; Pseudomonadati; Pseudomonadota; Gammaproteobacteria; Oceanospirillales; Halomonadaceae. The record is from RNAcentral.
CCUACGGGGGGCUGCAGUGGGGAAUAUUGGACAAUGGGGGCAACCCUGAUCCAGCCAUGCCGCGUGUGUGAAGAAGGCCCUCGGGUUGUAAAGCACUUUCAGUGAGGAAGAACGCCUGGUGGUUAAUACCCAUCAGGAAAGACAUCACUCACAGAAGAAGCACCGGCUAACUCCGUGCCAGCAGCCGCGGUAAUACGGAGGGUGCGAGCGUUAAUCGGAAUUACUGGGCGUAAAGCGCGCGUAGGUGGCUUGAUAAGCCGGUUGUGAAAGCCCCGGGCUCAACCUGGGAACGGCAUCCGGAACUGUCAAGCUAGAGUGCAGGAGAGGAAGGUAGAAUUCCCGGUGUAGCGGUGAAAUGCGUAGAGAUCGGGAGGAAUACCAGUGGCGAAGGCGGCCUUCUGGACUGACACUGAUACUGAGGUGCGAAAGCGUGGGUAGCAAACAGGAUUAGAUACCCUUGUAGUC